UACGGGGGGGGCAAGCGUUGUUCGGAAUUACUGGGCGUAAAGGGCGCGUAGGCGGUCUACUAAGUUGGAUGUGAAAACUCUGGGCUUAACCCAGAGCCUGCAUUCAAAACUGAUAGGCUGGAGUUCUGGAGGGGAUAGCGGAAUUCCGAGUGUAGAGGUGAAAUUCGUAGAUAUUCGGAAGAACACCAGUGGCGAAGGCGACUUACUGGACAACUGUUGACGCUGAGGUGCGAAAGCGUGGGGAGCAAACAGG
This 253-nucleotide ribosomal RNA is filed under the name uncultured bacterium. RNAcentral describes it as "partial 16S ribosomal RNA". It matches the Rfam family "Bacterial small subunit ribosomal RNA", at positions 524 to 776 of the family's 1533-position model. The record is from RNAcentral.